Molecule: ribosomal RNA, 675 nt
Filed under: uncultured bacterium
Lineage: Bacteria
Description: bacterial SSU rRNA
Rfam family: Bacterial small subunit ribosomal RNA
Source: RNAcentral
AGUGGCGAACGGGUGAGUAACAUAUCGGAACGUAUCCAAUAAUGGGGGAUAACUAAUCGAAAGGUUGGCUAAUACCGCAUACGCCCUACGGGGGAAAGCUAGGGACCUUCGGGCCUGGCGUUAAUGGAGCGGCCGAUAUCUGAUUAGCUAGUUGGUGGGGUAAAGGCCCACCAAGGCGACGAUCAGUAGCUGGUCUGAGAGGACGACCAGCCACACUGGAACUGAGACACGGUCCAGACUCCUACGGGAGGCAGCAGUGGGGAAUUUUGGACAAUGGGCGCAAGCCUGAUCCAGCCAUUCCGCGUGAGUGAAGAAGGCCUUCGGGUUGUAAAGCUCUUUCGCAAGGGAAGAAAACUUAGGCUCUAACAUAGCCUGAGGUUGACGGUACCUUGAUAAGAAGCACCGGCUAACUACGUGCCAGCAGCCGCGGUAAUACGUAGGGUGCGAGCGUUAAUCGGAAUUACUGGGCGUAAAGCGUGCGCAGGCGGUUUUGUAAGUCAGAUGUGAAAUCCCCGAGCUCAACUUGGGAACUGCGUUUGAAACUACAAGACUAGAAUAUGUCAGAGGGGGGUAGAAUUCCACGUGUAGCAGUGAAAUGCGUAGAGAUGUGGAGGAAUACCAAUGGCGAAGGCAGCCCCCUGGGAUAAUAUUGACGCUCAUGCACGAAAGCGUGGG